UACGUAGGGUGCAAGCGUUAAUCGGAAUUACUGGGCGUAAAGCGUGCGCAGGCGGUUCGGAAAGAAAGAUGUGAAAUCCCGGGGCUCAACCUCGGAACUGCAUUUUUAACUACCGGACUAGAGUAUGUCAGAGGGGGGUAGAAUUCCACGUGUAGCAGUGAAAUGCGUAGAGAUGUGGAGGAAUACCGAUGGCGAAGGCAGCCCCCUGGGAUAAUACUGACGCUCAUGCACUAAAGCGUGGGUAGCAAACAGG
Molecule: ribosomal RNA, 253 nt
Filed under: uncultured bacterium
Lineage: Bacteria
Description: partial 16S ribosomal RNA
Rfam family: Bacterial small subunit ribosomal RNA
Source: RNAcentral